This 576-nucleotide ribosomal RNA is filed under the name uncultured bacterium. RNAcentral describes it as "bacterial SSU rRNA". It matches the Rfam family "Bacterial small subunit ribosomal RNA", at positions 102 to 674 of the family's 1533-position model. The record is from RNAcentral.
ACGGGUGAGUAAUGCCUAGGAAUCUGCCUGGUAGUGGGGGAUAACGUUCGGAAACGGACGCUAAUACCGCAUACGUCCUACGGGAGAAAGCAGGGGACCUUCGGGCCUUGCGCUAUCAGAUGAGCCUAGGUCGGAUUAGCUAGUUGGUGAGGUAAUGGCUCACCAAGGCGACGAUCCGUAACUGGUCUGAGAGGAUGAUCAGUCACACUGGAACUGAGACACGGUCCAGACUCCUACGGGAGGCAGCAGUGGGGAAUACUGGACAAUGGGCGAAAGCCUGAUCCAGCCAUGCCGCGUGUGUGAAGAAGGUCUUCGGAUUGUAAAGCACUUUAAGUUGGGAGGAAGGGCAGUUACCUAAUACGUGAUUGUUUUGACGUUACCGACAGAAUAAGCACCGGCUAACUCUGUGCCAGCAGCCGCGGUAAUACAGAGGGUGCAAGCGUUAAUCGGAAUUACUGGGCGUAAAGCGCGCGUAGGUGGUUCGUUAAGUUGGAUGUGAAAUCCCCGGGCUCAACCUGGGAACUGCAUUCAAAACUGACUGACUAGAGUAUGGUAGAGGGUGGUGGAAUUUCCUGU